Molecule: ribosomal RNA, 561 nt
Filed under: uncultured cyanobacterium
Lineage: Bacteria; Bacillati; Cyanobacteriota
Description: bacterial SSU rRNA
Rfam family: Bacterial small subunit ribosomal RNA
Source: RNAcentral
UGAAACUUUUUUUGGCCUGAGGAUGAACUCGCGUCUGAUUAGCUAGUUGGUGAGGUAAGGGCUCACCAAGGCGACGAUCAGUAGCUGUUCUGAGAGGAAGAUCAGCCACACUGGGACUGAGACACGGCCCAGACUCCUACGGGAGGCAGCAGUGGGGAAUUUUCCGCAAUGGGGGCAACCCUGACGGAGCAACGCCGCGUGAGGGAAGAAUGGUUGUGGCCAGUAAACCUCUUUUAAUAGGGAAGAAUUCUGACGGUACCUAUUGAAUAAGCAUCGGCUAACUCCGUGCCAGCAGCCGCGGUAAUACGGAGGAUGCAAGCGUUACCCGGAAUUAUUGGGCGUAAAGCGUCCGCAGGUGGUUAGUCAAGUCAGCUGUAAAAGACUCAGGCUUAACUUGGGAUGUGCAGUUGAAACUGAUUGACUAGAGUACGGUAGGAGUAGAGGGAAUUCCUAGUGUAGCGGUGAAAUGCGUAGAUAUUAGGAAGAACACCAGUGGCGAAGGCGCUCUACUGGGCCUGUACUGACACUGAGGGACGAAAGCUAGGGGAGCGAAUGGGAUUA